UGAAACUGACAUCAAAAUAUCAGCUUGCUAAGAGCUCAAGACAAUGAUGAUCACUGAACAGGUAUUUUGCUUUUCAUCACCCUGGCUAUGUUUUUAUUUCCUAUUUAUUAUUCAUUUGAAAUGGGAUUUUCACUUGUGUAUUCAACACAGGGCCUGUAGGAUUUCUAAGUUCAAGUUACUAACAGCUAAACGACGAUUCUUUCUUCACAAAUGCAAAUUUUCUAAGGUCAGUAACCCCAAUGGCCAAGUAUGCAGGUGGUGGAAUUGAUGAUCAAACACAGGGUGUUCUAAAUAAGAUCAAGAUCUGCAUUUAUUCAGCACAGCUCAAAUCAAAGACAUCAUCAAAGAAACACUUUCAAGGAAAACAUCUACCUGUUGAUCAUAUGCCCCGAGCUAUCGGUCAUUGGUGCUGCAAACUUUGGAUGCAGGUGCUCUGUUGAAUGGGUUUUGAGUAGAACGAUUGAAGAGCAAAAACAAAGGGUUCC
Molecule: long non-coding RNA, 485 nt
Filed under: Populus tremula
Lineage: Eukaryota; Viridiplantae; Streptophyta; Magnoliopsida; Malpighiales; Salicaceae
Description: long non-coding RNA (PTRE_LNC001767)
Source: RNAcentral